RNAcentral lists this ribosomal RNA (765 nucleotides) under bacterium enrichment culture clone WG_313. RNAcentral's name for it is "bacterial SSU rRNA". It matches the Rfam family "Bacterial small subunit ribosomal RNA", at positions 69 to 831 of the family's 1533-position model. The record is from RNAcentral.
GAGAGUCUUCGGACUCGAGCGGCGAACGGGUGAGUAACACGUAGGAAAUCUGCCGUAAAGACUGGGAUACCAGACCGAAAGGUUUGCUAAUACCGGAUAUGAAUUCGAGAGGCAUCUCUUGAAUUUGAAAGCUGCGUUUGCAGCACUAUACGAUGAUCCUGCGGCGCAUUAGUUAGUUGGUGAGAUAACAGCCCACCAAGACGAGGAUGCGUAGCCGACCUGAGAGGGUGAUCGGCCACAAUGGAACUGAGACACGGUCCAUACUCCUACGGGAGGCAGCAGUAAGGAGUUUUCGGCAAUGGGGGAAACCCUGACCGAGCAAUACCGCGUGAGUGAUGAAGGUCUUCGGAUCGUAAAACUCUGUUGUAAGGGAAGAAUGAUAAGAAUAGGAAAUGAUUUUUAUUUGACCGUACCUUACGAGGAAGCCACGGCUAACUACGUGCCAGCAGCCGCGGUAAUACGUAGGUGGCAAGCGUUAUCCGGAAUUAUUGGGCGUAAAGAGUGAGCAGGCGGCCGUUUAAGUCUGAAGUCAAAUGCAGUAGCUCAACUACUGUUCGCUUUGGAAACUGGAUGGCUAGAGUUCGGGAGAGGUAAAUGGAACUUCAUGUGUAGCGGUGAAAUGCGUAGAUAUAUGAAAGAACACCAGUGGCGAAGGCGAUUUACUAGACCGAUACUGACGCUCAGUCACGAAAGCGUGGGUAGCAAAUAGGAUUAGAUACCCUAGUAGUCCACGCCGUAAACGAUGAGUACUAAGUGUUGGGGGUU